Molecule: ribosomal RNA, 366 nt
Filed under: uncultured bacterium
Lineage: Bacteria
Description: bacterial SSU rRNA
Rfam family: Bacterial small subunit ribosomal RNA
Source: RNAcentral
GACGAACGCUGGCGGCGUGCUUAACACAUGCAAGUCGAGCGGUAAGGCCCUUCGGGUACGACGAGCGGCGAACGGGUGAGUAACACGUGGGUGACCUGCCCUUAGCUCUGGGAUAAGCCUGGGAAACUGGGUCUAAUACCGGAUAUGACCUCAUGACGCAUGUUGUGGGGUGGAAAGCCUUGUGCGGCUAGGGAUGGGCCCGCGGCCUAUCAGCUUGUUGGUGGGGUGAUGGCCACCAAGGCGACGACGGGUAGCCGGCCUGAGAGGGCGACCGGCCACACUGGGACUGAGACACGGCCCAGACUCCUACGGGAGGCAGCAGUGGGGAAUCUUGCGCAAUGGGCGAAAGCCUGACGCAGCGACGCC